CCCCUUCGGUGUGACAGGGGGACAGGGGGGGCAUGGUUGUCGUCAGCUCGUGUCGUUAGAUGUUGGGUUACGUCCCGCAACGAGCGCAACCCUCGCCUCUAGUUGCCAGCAUUCGGUUGGGCACUCUAGAGGGACUGCCGGCGACAAGUCGGAGGAAGGUGGGGAUGACGUCAAAUCAUCAUGCCCCUUAUGACCUGGGCUACACACGUGCUACAAUGGGCGGUACAAAGGGCUGCGAACCCGCGAGGGGGAGCGAAUCCCAAAAAGCCGCUCUCAGUUCGGAUUGCAGGCUGCAACUCGCCUGCAUGAAGCCGGAAUCGCUAGUAAUCGCGGAUCAGCAUGCCGCGGUGAAUACGUUCCCGGGCCUUGUACACACCGCCCGUCACACCACGAGAGCUUGCAACACCCGAAGUCGGUGAGGCAACCCGCAAGGGAGCCAGCCGCCGAAGGUGGGGCAAGUGAUUGGGGUGAAGUCGUAACAAGGUAGCCGUACCGGAAGGUGCGGCUGGAUCACCUCCUUUCUAAGGA
Molecule: ribosomal RNA, 528 nt
Filed under: Geobacillus sp. LEMMY01
Lineage: Bacteria; Bacillati; Bacillota; Bacilli; Caryophanales; Anoxybacillaceae
Description: bacterial SSU rRNA
Rfam family: Bacterial small subunit ribosomal RNA
Source: RNAcentral